This 1767-nucleotide ribosomal RNA is filed under the name Triticum aestivum (bread wheat). RNAcentral describes it as "partial small subunit ribosomal RNA". Lineage: Eukaryota; Viridiplantae; Streptophyta; Magnoliopsida; Poales; Poaceae. The record is from RNAcentral.
AUGCAGUUCCUGUUGAGCACACCCACUGGAUGCUUGCUCACCGACGGGCCAAGGAGCACAAACAUAACACCAGAUGAUGGAAAUCGAACAAGUGGAAAAAGAGGAAUCUCGGAUGACGGGGUUGAGGCAGACGAGGAAGUUUUGACCAUCUGUGGACGACGAAGCUUGGACCGACGACGCAAGAGGGUGCUCCUGAUCCCGGCGGCAGCGACUGUGUCCAAACCAAAUAGCCCAAAUACGUGCAACCGGCCCAAAACUCAGCCUGUCGACCAAAAUUUGAAAAGGCUCAACAGUGGAGGAGCGCCUUCUAGAAGAAUCCGGCUAGGGCUACAGGCGGCGGUGGGGCGCAUGGCGGGCGGCGAAGGUGCCGCCACCGCGGGGGCGCCGGAGGAGGCGGGGAUGGGCCUCGACAUCUCGCGCGGGGGCGGGCUGCCCAGCUUCGAGUUCGCGUUCAAUUCAGAGAGCUUCUCCGACCGGGUGCUGCGGCUGGAGGUCGUCGCCAGCGACGGAGGACCCCUCCCCGACUUGGCGUUCCACCGCGAGGAGGAAGCAGAUGAAAAAAGUAUUGACUCUUCUUGGACCAUGGUGUCUACGCCAGUUUUACGAGUAAAGACCAUUUACAUCAAUUCGGUUGUUCUCGCUGCAAAUAGUCCAUUCUUUCUUAAGCUUUUCUCAAAUGGCAUGAAAGAGUCUGAUCAGAGGCAUCUAACAGUCCGAAUUGCUGAUUCGGGAACGGAGGAAACUGUCAUGAUGGAGAUUUUGAGCUUUAUGUACACUGGAAAGUUGUCAACAACUGAGCCGAAUCUUCUGCUCGACAUCUUGAUGGCCGCUGACAAAUUUGAAGUUCUGGCUUGCAUGAGACAUUGUAACCAGUUACUCACAAACUUGCCUAUGACCAGAGAGUCUGCAUUGCUCUACCUAGAUUACCCAUGCUCCACUUCAGUGGCUGCUGAAAUUCGGCAUCUGACAGAUGCAGCCAAGGAAUUCCUCGCCAGCAAAUACAAGGUUUUGGCCAAGUUGGAUUCGACCGACCCUGCCCACAGGUCAUUGAUGGACAUGCCUCUUGCUGGGAUUGAAGCCAUCUUUUCUAGUACUGACCUACAGAUAAGAUCUGAAAAUACCGUAUAUAGCUUCUUGCUUGAGUGGGUGUGCAAGCAAUACCCAGAAACAGAGGAGAGGCACAAGAUAUGGAGUUCUCGCUUACUUCCACUUGUGCGCUUCAGUCAUAUGACUUGGAGUAAACUCCACGAAGUCCUGACAUGCAGUGAUGAUGAUGUGGACAAUGAGCAAACAAAGAAGCUUAUUACUGAUUCUCUCUUGCACAAAGCUUACCCAGCACAUGAGCAAGCCACUAUUGAGGCAGACACAAGAACCUGUUGGCAAGCCCCACAGCGAGCUUACAUGCUUAAACCAAUCAAAGUGGUUGAAUUCGACCGGCCCUGCCCAGAGGUCAUUGUUUACUUGGAUCUAACACGCGAGGAGUGCUCCCGGCUGUUCCCAACAGGAGACAUUUUGACACACUUGUUCCAUCUUGCUGGACAAGAUUUCUUUCUCAGAGCAAACUGUCAAAUGGAUGAGCAGAGAAAAUUCGUGACCAGAUUGGAGGACAAGGCUACCUUCAGCAAUGAUUGGAUGGAGGGAUGCAAUGAUCUUUUUGAGGUUCCAUGGUCGACGUUCAUUUCCAACGACAACCUCAUCGAUGGCGUGCUGCAUCUGAGAGCUGACUUGAGGGUGGGGGUGGUGGCGCAGCUGGGACUAGAGACUUGA